Long non-coding RNA from Falco peregrinus (peregrine falcon), 3523 nucleotides. RefSeq lists it as uncharacterized. NCBI's taxonomy places the organism in Eukaryota, Metazoa, Chordata, Aves, Falconiformes, Falconidae. The transcript is spliced from 4 exons. The record is from RefSeq and is a predicted model, not a curated record.
UCUCUGUUCCGGCACAACAGUUGUGCUUAUUGCUUGUGAACGUGGAGAUCACGUUUCCCGGGUAUGCAGAGCUCGGAGGUUAACUCUAGUAUUGGCACAGUUCCUCUUGCUGUUGCAAAAGCUUCUAAUCUCUGAUAGCGAGCAGUUAGCUGCUAUUAAAAACACCAUAAAAAUUAUUAUAGGCAAUGUGAGAACAGGAUCCAAAACAGUUUUUCCCGCACGGAAGUAAUAAAGGGGGGGGCCUGUGCUGCCUGCAGCACCUGUGCCUAACUUAAGCCUGGCACUUAAGAAUUACUUGUAAUUCUUAAAAAGCAAAUACAUAAAAAACAGGAAACAAAUGCAACAAAGCAGAAACACUUUCCCUUGAUGUUCAGUUCAGCAUUAUGCUGAUAUUUAGCGUUUCACUGCUGUUUCACAAAUACAUCUGUUCUGUGUUAGAGGAGGAAGCAAGCUGGUUAAAGAAAGCACAGUUAAACACAGUCAGUAUCCAAAAACUUUACACCAAGACCCACAGGAGGAAAUGUCCAAACGCUUGCCCACCCUAUGAUCACCAGCUGGCCAGUAGAGCACCUGAGAACAGGUGGUGGACAGCAUGGCGUGCUACUGGCAUGUUAUGAGUGUGGAAGGUCAGCAUGCGCCUGAGAGAGAAUGAUCCCGGUGCAAUAGUUAGAAUGAGUUUUACAUGACAAGUCACUUCUAGAUCUACUGUUAAUGCUGCCCUCUCCCAUUGCAGCUGGUUGAUUAACAGAUGCUGCACCAAGGAAACACCCCAUCCAAUGACUCUUCCCAACAGAAGUGAGCCUGAAGCUUCUAUUAAAGUUUCUCAAUUUUUAUGAAACCUUUAAUGUAAUAUUGGUACUACUAUUCACUAAAAUGCUGAAUUUAAAAGACUUAGGCUGUAUAAAACAGGGUAGUUAAUUCAAAUGAACAUUAAGAAAAUGAAAAUACUGCAUUGCUGUAGUAAGCUGUCAGUGUUGUUUGCUUGCUUAUAUAUUUUCCUUUUCCUUUACAGAUGAGAAUUAACGUAAACCAGACAGCAAAAUAGAAGUAUUUCUUCUUUUUUUAUCAUUUUUCAUCAGGUACUUAAUUUAGUGAUUCAAUUUAUUAGCUCUUCAGCUGAAAACUGCACUGCAGACCAGUAGUAUGAAAAUGCAUAUUAAUCUGAUUUCUCUUCUCUGUUCAAAUCUUGCAAAAUCUGCUGAAGGAUGUCUAAAUGGGAAGAUUUCUCUCUGCCCUUGAGGACUGUGCAGAGCUGCUGACUGUGCCCUGGCUGGAAACAGUCUUUCUGGAGAAAAGUCAGCCAGUCUAGAAGGAAUCAGCCUGGAUCCUAAAGGCUGCCCAGCUCUGGAAGGAAACUUAAACCAUGGAUUGCAGUAUUUGAUUUUGACUUAUCCAAGUUUAUAUAUAGCACUUGGCAGUGGCAUUUAGGAUGUGGCUUCUCUGUACAUGUUUAUAAUACAAAAUAAGAUAUGUUAUCUUUAAAAUACUAGUGUUGCAUAGCAGCUUCGUUUUAUGUGAUCUUAAUUUGCAGAUUAGUUUUUUUAAUACCUUUUGCAAUUAAUGUGUUGGUUUAUAUUGUAGUGAACUUGGCAGUGCUAGGUUAAUGGUUGGACUUGAUGAUCUUAAAGGUCGUUUUUAACCUAAAUAAUUCUAAGAUUCUCUUCCAAAAGCUGGAAUGGGCUCUCAUUACAGAACAGAAUGCUACAGAAAACAGAGUAAGAUACAUAAAGGUAAAAAUAUUUCCUUCUGCCAAGUACACCAUUUUUUUUUUAAAAAAAGGAAUUUAGUGAAAUGAUGUUCCCAGAAUGAAGCCUUGUUCUCAGAGCUGUAAUGUGAGAAAGCUUUUCAGCAAACGGCUGUGUUGGGCAUCGCUAAUUUGAGCUGACUGGAGGGGUGGGAAGGCAGUUCAGCUCGUAUCCCAGGUUGUGUCCAGGAGGGCUCACGCUGGGCACAUUGAGGCACAGUCCAAAAACAGAGACCAAAAUCUUUACCCCGUCUCAGACCUUCUGCGCCUCCCUGCACACCAGCUCGCGGGCUGUUGGAGCCCUUCGCCUCGGGCCGCUGGGCUACCAGCUGUGAUAGCUGAGAUGUUUGCUUACGUUUGCCUGUGGGAUUUCAAAACCUUGAUCUGCUGCAGCUUCAGCUUCGGCACCAGCUGGAAGAACUCUGCAACUGGGAAAGUAAAAAUCGAGAAUAAAGCAGUGGACAUUUGGCAAGAGCUGCCCUCUCCUGGUUUAUUGACCCAUGACAUGAGGAUGCUGAGCUGGUAUUUCUUAGACAAGACAUGUCUGCCUGUCUGGAGAUCCAGAGCUGAACACAAGAGCUAAUCCCAUCCCUGAAGCAACCACCCAGGCACAGAAGAUUAGAACAGAUUUGAAAGAGCCUGCAAAUUUCUCUACUUCCUUGCAAUUCCAGUGGGCUUUGCUGCUGUGAGUUUCCAGGGAAAGCUAAACCUAAAAUAUUCCUGGCAGGUGUAAAAUGAAGUGGAUCUUGGAAUCUGUUACACGCAGAGGUAUUUUACAGCUAUCCAUAAGGUAAUUAAUCUACUGUAGAAUUUAACUGUGCAAAUUUUUAAUCUUUUCUGGAUGAAAAGGUCUUUCCUCUGUAUCUUCACCUUGGUUACGUAGCUCUAUGCCUGUAUCUAUCCCUUCCUCUCUCUCUCAUGAUCUAUAUUUAUCUAUGUCUCCAACUUCAAUAACUUGCUUGCCCGUAUCAGCACCAGGAGUCAUUCCCGCUGAAACGCAGGAUGUCACACGUGCUGUUACCGACCCCAGGCUGCAGUGGGUCCUUUUGCGAUGGGGGGAUGCUGGUGAUUUUUUUUUUUUCUUCAGGUGAUUAUUUUUCUUGUUUGAGGAUCGCAUUUUGUGCUAAUAUUUUUCUUAAAAAUAUUUGAACUGCCUCUUUGUUUUAAUAUUUCUUACACUGCCUUUGUCAUCUAACUGAAAUGAAUUCUUAAUACUGGAUUUGAGUGAGACAGCCUAGAAAAAGGGUCUCAAUACAUCUUUCAAGUUCGACAGUAUGUUAACAUUGUACUUUAGUGUGUUUUAAGUUUUGAAUCUACUGUUGCCAGCCAAUUUGAAAGCAUCAUUAUGUCCAGCCCUUUUGCUCUUCUUUUUCCCGAAACUUUGCGUUUAUUCCUCUUGCUUUGGACAUCUGUUCACUAUUAAAGUGCACUGAUAUUCCUGGUAUGAUGGCAUUGGCUUUACUACUGAACAGUAGCUUGAUUCUUUCCAUGAUCUUCUUGCGUCACUAGCAGGCAGUUUGUUUGCUUGAUACCUUUUAUUUGACAUUUUAUUUUAUUUGCUGCUUAUGUCAGCUUUAUAUGUAGCUGAUUUUAUUUAUCAGGAGAGUCCAUCUAUAUAAUUUGUUGUAUACUUUGAUGCAAUUUAUUUUUCUGAUGCAAAAAUACCUAACAGACUUAUUAAAAAAAGUUGUCAAAUUUUGCUUUCUAAUAUUUUUUCUGUGAUAGAAAACUAAUUCUUGAUUAGAACAGCUUGACUUUUGUUCUACACCACUGCAUCCC